AUCCUGAAAAUCGAUUAAACUCUCUGGCAUUUCGGCUCGGUGAGACAACCGAUAGCUUUAGCAAGCGAAAUAUCGCAUUCUACGUAUAACGCGGUUGUAAAAGAAUGUCGAAGGUCGCCCCGGCGAUUCAUCGUUUCUUCUCGUUACAUUUUAUUCUACUUUCGUCCACCAUCCACCGCGUACGUGAUAUUCGGUGGCAAAUGGCACGAUAACGGUGUCAAGUCCACGCGACGAGCCUUUACGAAAACGCGUCGUCCAGUCUCGUGUUUAUUGGAACCGCUUCAAACGAUUCCAACUUCUUGUUAAAUGUCACGCGCAUAAUUUGUCUCGCAAGAAACAGGGUGGAAGAGUAGACUGCGCUGACCGUGAAACGAUGGAACCUUGUGUAACGAGGUCGCGCGAGUAUCUUUCGAACGAAGCCGACGACGAAGACGGCGUCGGCGUCGGCGGACGGACGUGGUUAUUGAACGUAUUAGAAUAUUAAUAGAAUUUACCAGACUGGAACAUAUCUCGUCUCUAAUAUUUACCUACCUACAAUAGUAAAAGAGCUACGAACGUGGGUGAAUUUUCGGUUGAUUUAAAAUGGUCAAACAUGAGAUAAGAAAAUGGCAAACUGGCACGACUCGCGUCAUGAAUCUAGAAGCAGAAUUAUAAGUUAGCACGCGCGCGUUUCUGAGCGGACGAACAACGAUCUUGACCCGUUUCUUGCCAUUAGGAACAGACUGGCAACGCGCAUCCAUCUUUCCUAUCUGUCUGACCCUUUCUGCAAUUAACGAAGAUCUUGCUGAAACGUUUUCCUACUCCAAGCUUAUAUCUUCAACGACUAGAAAUGUUCAUAGGGUAUAUAUAGAAUUUAGUACGAUUUUAACGUGAUUUACCGCGAAGUGCGUACUCUCUCGUAAUCGGUGAGUCAUCCAACUUUGAAACUCUGAAGAGGCUGGCCCGAGUGUUACCGAAACUAACGUUGCUGCCAAAAAGAAAAAAUAAAGAACGAAGGACACGAACUAGAAUCGAAAUAAUAAUCCUGGCCGUGAAAGUUGACGUCAGAGAUAGUAUUACUCAAUGAAUGCAGUCAAUGGAAAACUAUGCAAUCAUUUAUCGGCCGACAAGUGAGACGGAUUGUUCGACGAACGAUCCGGUGCUUAUGAUUUAAUUCGGAGAAGCGAUACGUAGGUAUGUGUCCGAUUUAAUCAAUUUCCAUGCCAAUUAGAUCACUCGUCAAUCAUAAAUACCGACUGGAUAAUUGAUUUUUUCAGCCUUCUAAAUUCUCAACAAAAUGAUUAACUCGAACAUCAAUCAAAAUAUCACGCUAUUCGAAUGUGAUGAAUGGAUCUUUGCUUUGAAAUUUUGACGCUACCUUGUUCUCGUAUCUUAUACAUACAAAUACGAGCCUCUAUCAAAGAACAUCAAUGACGAAUGUUUUUUUUUUUUUCGUUCGAGGAAAUAAGUGAUCGUUAUCGUUGAUUCGCGAGACGAUUCCUACGAAAGUACAUACGUUCGAAUCACGAAGAUCUAUAUUUGGAUCGCGCGUCAUGCGAACGCGCUCGAAUCCUUCGAAAUUUGAAUCACUAUUUUAUAGGGGACCGGUAUAAUCGAAGGUAGAAGCGCGAAUACAUUUAUCGGUUACAGUUUCAGCAAGAUCGGCAGACGGUGCUGCUAUUUGUCUCGUUUCGAAACACCGCGACCUGACUUUCCUUUAUCUUCUUCUUAAAAAUAAUAAAAAGUAGGUUAAUUCGCGAGGAACAUAGCGAUCAAACAAGCCGUUCAACGAUACGGUAACGAUGAAAGAUAGCAAUCAAGGAGAAUCAGUAAACACGAUGACAUAAUAAAGUAAGGAGAGAUAUCAAAGUUGCUGGAUCGUCGUUGUCGGUAUACUCGAAAACAGCUGGUUUGUUCCUAGACGCGGUACACUUAAAAUUCCAACGAACAUCGAUCUAAAUUCGAAUCCGAAUCUAAAUCUAAAUCUACAUCUAAAUUGACCUGUUGAGGAUCUCGAAACGCGGCAAAGUCGGCUCCGUUUCGUUCGCGAUUAAAUCAUUCCUCUCCUUUCAAAGAUAGAUUAAUUUCGGAAACGUUACGAGAAUAUGCUUAUACAUACGCGCGUAUAAUUAUAGCGAUGCGUAUGCAAUCGUGAAUCGUUUUUUAAAAAAAAACGAAAAAACGACUAAAAACAAUGUAGGAAAAGAGGUCACGAAAACACGUUGGCGAGAUCGUAUAUUUUUAAGCGGGUUUCAACGUUUCGGGAGCGAGAUCUUUUUCGGAUUUAUGUGUAUCGAUAAAACAAACAGGAACGAAUGAGCCGCGGAGAGCUCGACUGAUAUUCCAGCCACGAUUAUUUUUAUAGUGUUAUCCGAGAACUCGAAUCUUUCGACUUCGGAGGGAAACGAAAAUUCAAAUCUGCCCGGUGAUAAAGCGUUUCCGGUAUCGAACGGAAUUUUCUUCUACGACGAUUCAUUCGAUAUUAUAAUAAUAAUAAUAAUAAUAAUAAAUUUAUUAUCGACAGAUACUUCUCGACUCGAUCCGAUCGGUCCGAUUAGGUGAGUCGUUGCGUGCCAAUUAAACAACGUAACUCCUCGAUAAAACGAGAAACGUUUCCUCGAAGAAAUUUUUCCUGAUAUCGAUUCGAUCGUUUCGCAUGAAAAUCAUUUGAACGAUUUAUCGAACCUCUAUCUCGAUCUCCUUGCGCGUUUUUCCAUCCGUAUUCUCUCCCUUUUUAUUCCGCUCCGUCCUUUCCUCUCUUUUUAAUCUGUUUAUCACAUGGCGCGCCAAUGCUUAUACGCGAUCUUUCAAAUUGUUCGCGCUAAAAAUAACGCGAACGUCAUAUUAACGCGUAUGCGCCCGUUGUCCCAAAUUCCAAUCGUUCUUUCUGCGUUAUGAAUUCAAUUUUAAGAAUCUUUUCUUUCUAUUUAGAUAUCGAUGAGUUUCGAAGAACAACAAGUACAAGAUUGCUAUUUCUUGAUGUUUCCUUCUCAGAUAAGCGCCUAGUGUAUUAUGUUCACGUUACGUUUACAAACUGUCAAUUAUUAAUUGGUAGUUAAAUACAGGGCCAACUCUGAGAUUUCGGGGGUCCGAAGCGAGCUCCGAAAAAGGGCCCCUUAUAAAGCUUGUAUAACUAAUUUAGAUUCAAGUAAACAUUACUCUUCUUGCAUUCUUAAACGCAAAAUCGUCUUAUGGGAGCCCUGAUUAAAUAGCAUCGAAACGAUUUUGGCGUAAUACGUAAUUGCAGGUAACAGUAGUACUCUGAAUGAAACAAUAAAAGAAAGGGAAUGUAAUUUUGAGUCUCGUCACGAUGUGCACGAUAUACAUAAGAGGCUGGCGGAAAUUUUUAUAUUCGUAACGAGAUGCUUGUUCCGGACGUGUCUCGAAUCGUUAUCGAUAAAUCGUAAAGUGAAAAAAGCGUUUUCGCAACUCGCGUAUAUUUCGUAUCGUAUAGUUUCAUUUCAGUUCACGAACAGGUAUUUCUCGUUGAUACUGUAUCGCCAAUUAUUAAAACACAUACACGAUAUAGGUGUUAAGGUGUUUUUAUAAUUGCGUACCAAGAUAACAUAUAACGUUGAGGAAAUUCUGCCUUGAAUCGAGAGAUCGAACGGUAAGAAUCAAACUUCGAACUUGAGCGGAUAAUGAUUAGGUGUAUACAGCCGUGGCGACGCGACGCGUCGCGACGCAACGGGACGCUGUAAACUGUAGACAAACGAUCGCGUUUAUGGAAACAUCAAUUUUUUCAAAGCAAUUUACUUAAAGUGCAAGCAUUAGCUGCAAUUAGAUUCUCUAAUGAUUACUCUAUUAAUAUAACGCAACACGAUAAAAUUUUCAUUUACGUAUUCAUCGAGAAAAAAAAAUCUAAUACUUUGCGUUUACGCGCAUUAAAGUAUAUCUUAACUCUUUGAUAGCCGAUUUUACAUAUUUAUGACUUUGAACUGCUUCGAAUUUAAUGCAUUAUUCACUAACUAAUGUGUAAUCCUAUCGAUGGUUUUCUUUUAGAUACAGAUAAAAAUCAUAAAGUUACGAGAGUCUUAAGUACCAGGAAAUAAAUGGCGGUUAAAUAUGUUACGAUAUAUUUCUUUCGCUUACCCGUUGUGUCACUUGCUGUUCAGUGCUUAAUCCAGGAUUCUUGAGAUCCAAAGCAAUAAAUAUUAGAAACUUCCUUCACGAAGAUAACGCGCUCAAAAAAUUUUCAUAUGUUCUCUGUUGAGUGCGAUAGUGGGGAAUUUUAAAGAUUCGAUUUGAUAAACGAGAUUGAAAACAAAAAAGAUAACACGAGAAGGAAGAACGUAGGUGCAAAUGAAAAAAA
Non-coding RNA from Osmia lignaria (orchard mason bee), 4291 nucleotides. The record is from RefSeq and is a predicted model, not a curated record. NCBI's taxonomy places the organism in Eukaryota, Metazoa, Arthropoda, Insecta, Hymenoptera, Megachilidae.